RNAcentral lists this ribosomal RNA (253 nucleotides) under uncultured bacterium. Its description in RNAcentral is "partial 16S ribosomal RNA". It matches the Rfam family "Bacterial small subunit ribosomal RNA", at positions 524 to 776 of the family's 1533-position model. The record is from RNAcentral.
UACGUAGGGGGCAAGCGUUGUCCGGAUUUAUUGGGCGUAAAGAGCGUGUAGGCGGCUUUACAGGUCCGUUGUGAAAACUCGAGGCUCAACCUCGAGACGCCGGUGGAAACCGUAAAGCUAGAGUCCGGAAGAGGAGAGUGGAAUUCCUGGUGUAGCGGUGAAAUGCGCAGAUAUCAGGAGGAACACCGGUGGCGAAGGCGGCAUCCUGGACCGACAUUGACGCUGAGGCGCGAAAGCCAGGGGAGCAAACGGG